This 468-nucleotide ribosomal RNA is filed under the name uncultured bacterium. RNAcentral's name for it is "partial 16S ribosomal RNA". It matches the Rfam family "Bacterial small subunit ribosomal RNA", at positions 28 to 507 of the family's 1533-position model. The record is from RNAcentral.
GACGAACGCUGGCGGCGUGCUUAACACAUGCAAGUCGAACGGAAAGGCCCUGCUUUUGUGGGGUGCUCGAGUGGCGAACGGGUGAGUAACACGUGAGUAACCUGCCCUUGACUUUGGGAUAACUUCAGGAAACUGGGGCUAAUACCGGAUAGGAGCUCCUGCUGCAUGGUGGGGGUUGGAAAGUUUCGGCGGUUGGGGAUGGACUCGCGGCUUAUCAGCUUGUUGGUGGGGUAGUGGCUUACCAAGGCUUCGACGGGUAGCCGGCCUGAGAGGGUGACCGGCCACAAUGGGACUGAGAUACGGCCCAGACUCCUACGGGAGGCAGCAGUGGGGAAUAUUGCACAAUGGGCGGAAGCCUGAUGCAGCAACGCCGCGUGCGGGAUGACGGCCUUCGGGUUGUAAACCGCUUUCGCCUGUGACGAAGCGUGAGUGACGGUAAUGGGUAAAGAAGCACCGGCUAACUACGUG